CAGUGAUGUGACUGGGCCCAAUGUCCACCCAGUGCUUCUCCCGCAGGGUGACCAUGGCCUGGGUUCCAGGAGCGGUGGUUCAGCUCUUAGCAGCAGCAGCAUCGGAGGAGUUAGGAGGGUCACCCGGCCACCACCAGCAGAACUGGCAGGUGCGAGUUGACAGUCCUCAGCCCAGAGGAGCAUAAGCCAAGCUAGUGGCAGUUCAUGGAAGCUUUGGAGGCUCCUUGCACUAUAACAUGUCUGAAAGGCUGGAGCAUAAUUCGGUUUUUCUGGUACCACUGCCUCAGACCAGGCAGAGCAGGAUAAAAAUGACCUGUAAGAGCCGAGGAAAGGAUAAAAAUGUAUGUAUAUAUAUCCAGAGGAUUACGCAAUUCUGGCUUGUGAUGGUGCUGGGAACUGAACCUGAGACCUUUUCAGGCAUGAAAGAAAAAUGUCUCCUUUGAGCAGCAGGACUCCUGAAUUCCAGCCAGAAAAGGAGCCCACAUGGAGAAACAGCACAACACCGGUGGUCAUUUAUGCAGGUCUAGCCUUUCUUGAGUGACUGACUCCUGAAGAUUGGAGCAGGGGCCUUCCUGGUGGCUUUCAGCAUCAGGACUCGCCAAGAUUUACUGCAGAUGCUGCCCAAGACAAGAUUAUGGCUUUCUAUAGUCAACAACCUCAAUGGAAUCCAUUUUUUUCCUGCAAGAAUUGAGACUAUUCCGUCUGUACGCAGGGUCACCGUCUGCCACUAGACAUCUGACUGCAGGACCUAUGGACACAGCUCAUCGUCUCAACAACCAGACCCUCAGCAACACUCUGACCACUGCCUGAACCCCUGUCUCAGCCAUGGACAACAGCUCUUGCCCACUGAAUGUGCCCUGCAACAUCUCACUGAGAAAUGGCAUUGGGAUUGGCACCGUGGUGAAAAUCCGUGGAUCUGUUCCUGAUAAUUCUGACAGCUCUCCUGCCAGCCCAGCCUUGGACAAGUAAGGCCACCCUCCUAAUGUCCCUGCCCCAAUUCCUGACUCAGUGACAUCACAAUGACCUUGAGUUGCUAAGCAACUGGGACACCAGGCUCUGAGACAGCUGCUCUCUCAUGGUGGUCUCACACAAGUGCACCGUCUGGCUGUUGCUUUUGGGAUCUAAUCUCUGUCUACCCCUCAUCUCCUGGGGCCCAUCAUGACAGCUGCUCAGACUCUCCCCUCAGUGAUCUCAGCUGGUAUGAAAGCCCAGCUCCCCUGACAGCUGCUGGAGGCAAUUGUGGGGCUCUAGGUAUGUGUGUGGGGGGUCCAUUUUCCCAUCACC
This is a long non-coding RNA of Erinaceus europaeus (western European hedgehog), 1284 nucleotides long. RefSeq lists it as uncharacterized. The transcript is spliced from 6 exons. Lineage: Eukaryota; Metazoa; Chordata; Mammalia; Eulipotyphla; Erinaceidae. The record is from RefSeq and is a predicted model, not a curated record.